Molecule: ribosomal RNA, 497 nt
Filed under: uncultured bacterium
Lineage: Bacteria
Description: partial 16S ribosomal RNA
Rfam family: Bacterial small subunit ribosomal RNA
Source: RNAcentral
GAUGAACGCUGGCGGCGUGCCUAAUACAUGCAAGUCGAGCGAACGGACGAGAAGCUUGCUUCUCUGAUGUUAGCGGCGGACGGGUGAGUAGCACGUGGAUAACCUACCUAUAAGACUGGGAUAACUUCGGGAAACCGUAGCUAAUACCGGAUAAUAUUUUGAACCGCAUGGUUCAAAAGUGAAAGACGGUCUUGCUGUCACUUAUAGAUGGAUCCGCGCUGCAUUAGCUAGUUGGUAAGGUAACGGCUUACCAAGGCAACGAUGCAUAGCCGACCUGAGAGGGUGAUCGGCCACACUGGAACUGAGACACGGUCCAGACUCCUACGGGAGGCAGCAGUAGGGAAUCUUCCGCAAUGGGCGAAAGCCUGACGGAGCAACGCCGCGUGAGUGAUGAAGGUCUUCGGAUCGUAAAACUCUGUUAUUAGGGAAGAACAUAUGUGUAAGUAACUGUGCACAUCUUGACGGUACCUAAUCAGAAAGCCACGGCUAACUACGUG